GAUGAACGCUGGCGGCGUGCCUAAUACAUGCAAGUCGAGCGAACGGACGAGAAGCUUGCUUCUCUGGUGUUAGCGGCGGACGGGUGAGUAACACGUGGAUAACCUACCUAUAAGACUGGGAUAACUUCGGGAAACCGGAGCUAAUACCGGAUAAUAUUUUGAACCGCAUGGUUCAAAAGUGAAAGACGGUCUUGCUGUCACUUAUAGAUGGAUCCGCGCUGCAUUAGCUAGUUGGUAAGGUAACGGCUUACCAAGGCAACGAUGCAUAGCCGACCUGAGAGGGUGAUCGGGCACACUGGAACUGAGACACGGUCCAGACUCCUACGGGAGGCAGCAGUAGGGAAUCUACCGCAAUGGGCGAAAGCCUGACGGAGCAACGGCGCGUGAGUGAUGAAGGUCUUCGGAUCGUAAAACUCUGUUAUUAGGGAAGAACAUAUAUGUAAGUAACUGUGCACAUCUUGACGGUACAUAAUCAGAAAGCCACGGCUAACUACGUG
This 497-nucleotide ribosomal RNA is filed under the name uncultured bacterium. RNAcentral's name for it is "partial 16S ribosomal RNA". It matches the Rfam family "Bacterial small subunit ribosomal RNA", at positions 28 to 507 of the family's 1533-position model. The record is from RNAcentral.